GCUCUUAACCUCUGAGCCAUUUCUCCAGCCCUGGACUAAACUUCUGAACUGUGCAGGGUGGAGCAUCCCUUUCUGAAGGCUUUCACCGGGAUCUGCUGCUGCAAGGAUGUGCGGAGGUGAGGGCUGGAUGGAAUGCUCUUCCCUAGGAUGUCUUCCUAGUCCUAUGGCCUGCUGGCAGGGACGCCAUUACCUGGAAGCCUUGACCAUGACCUCACAAGGCUGACCUGUGCCCUCCCUGGCUCUUGUGUGCCCACCUGAUCGCCUUCAUCUGGCUCAUCACAUAACUGUUUGCUCCUGAAUGCCUUCUCCACAUUAGGGCCUCCUUUUUAAUUAUGUUCCCCAAAGGGUAGCCAAGUAGAUAGUCGUUAAUUCCUACCCUCCCCUGGACAGGAGGGCCACGGGGAGCUCCUGGGGAACUCCUGUACAGACUGAGUGCUUGUCUGUCCUGGAACUAGCUCUUGUAGUUCGAACUCACAGAGAUCCACCUACCUCUGCCUCCUGAGAGCUGGAACUAAAGGCGUGCGCCACUACUGCCCGAAGAUUAAGGAGCACAGGGGUGUCUGUUUGAUGUUAGAGGAGGAGGGCAAUGGGGAGGUGAAGACUGGAGAGUGAGAGCAGCUCGUGAGCCUGCUGGGAAUCAACUUCACCAAGAAGAGUGAACUGGGCAGAGGCAACGAAGGUUCUUUAACUGCAAUGGCUCCCUGAUGCCAACGGGGAUUUACUAUGAGGAAGCCCGCAGCCUUGACAAGGACAGCAAGGACGACACAGACCAGAACAUACAUGAAGAGGGCCUUAGGCCUACAGGUUUAUAGCAGAUGGCAGGAGAGUCCAGUCAGGUUGGUCCAGUAACGUAGCUGCUUGUCUGCCGGAGGUCUGCCCAGGGAAUCCGCUGCCCACUGCCGCCCUCCCUGCCUACAGCUCUGCAUUGAUGAAAUGUUCCAGCCAGACUCUACUGUUUCUCACUGUCCCGACUGGAAGGAGUUGGGCCUGAAGAAGGAUACGUGGACAGUCCUGGACACACAGUUCAGAUCAUUUCGCUCUCAUCUUGGCCUUUCCCGCUGUCCAGAUCUGGGCUCUGAACACCAGCAGGAGUAGUAAGGGAGCCCCCACUAGCCCUGUCUGUCUACACUCUGGGGGCGCUAGAGCCGCUUCCACAAAGGCAGAGACCAUGUUCAC
Molecule: long non-coding RNA, 1176 nt
Organism: Arvicola amphibius (Eurasian water vole)
Lineage: Eukaryota; Metazoa; Chordata; Mammalia; Rodentia; Cricetidae
Exons: 4
Source: RefSeq, a predicted model, not a curated record